Molecule: ribosomal RNA, 270 nt
Filed under: uncultured soil bacterium
Lineage: Bacteria
Description: partial 16S ribosomal RNA
Rfam family: Bacterial small subunit ribosomal RNA
Source: RNAcentral
AGAUUGAACGCUGGCGGCAUGCCUUACACAUGCAAGUCGAACGGCAGCACGGGAGCAAUCCUGGUGGCGAGUGGCGAACGGGUGAGUAAUAUAUCGGAACGUGCCCAGUCGUGGGGGAUAACGCAGCGAAAGCUGUGCUAAUACCGCAUACGAUCUAUGGAUGAAAGCGGGGGAUCGCAAGACCUCGCGCGAUUGGAGCGGCCGAUAUCAGAUUAGCUAGGUUGGUAGGGGUAAAGCCUACCAAGGCGACGAUCUGUAGCUGGUCUGAGA